UAUAAUGUUUAAAGUCAUAACUUUAACGAAGAAAUAUUCUUUUCAUUUCCAAAAUUAAUAUAUCAUACAUAUUUCAUAUAUAUCACAUAUAUAUUUUAUAUAUAUAUAUAUAUAUACAAAUUUAGGAAUAUGAAUAACUCCCACUAAUCUUUUGUAAAACUAGUAAACAAAAGAUUCAUUUACAUCUUUAUGAGAAAUCAAACAAUUUGACCUUUCUCUUAUAAGACGCUUACAGCUCCCACUAGCUUGCUAAGAUCCAUGAUGGAUGGAUCUCUACAACUUAUAUGUCUUGUGAUUCAUAGUUUUAGACAUAUAUUAUCAAGACUAUCUUAAUAAUGGUUUCAGAAACCCAUAUUAUGUCCAAACAUUGAAUCACCAUUUAGUUGUAGCUAGCAAUCUUCGAAUUAAUUGAAACUAAGACUACGUCAAAAAUGGUUCCUUCAAAGUCAACCAUUUUAUUUGAUUGUAGUCACCUUAAGCUACCAAUUAGCUUAUGAAGGUUUCAUUAUUUCGGGUCAAGUGGUACUUUACCAUUCCCAUGAGUAUAUAUCGUAUAUGCACUCAAUGUAGUCAUAAGGAUUUACAUUCUUAUUUCUUUCGAAUUAAGAGGUGCAACUCUAUGACAUAGUCAUAAAGUUCAAACCAUUCAAC
Molecule: long non-coding RNA, 651 nt
Filed under: Malus domestica (apple)
Lineage: Eukaryota; Viridiplantae; Streptophyta; Magnoliopsida; Rosales; Rosaceae
Description: long non-coding RNA (MDOM_LNC014966)
Source: RNAcentral